Molecule: transfer RNA, 85 nt
Filed under: Lachnospiraceae bacterium
Lineage: Bacteria; Bacillati; Bacillota; Clostridia; Lachnospirales; Lachnospiraceae
Description: tRNA-Leu
Rfam family: tRNA
About the family: Transfer RNA (tRNA) molecules are approximately 80 nucleotides in length. Their secondary structure includes four short double-helical elements and three loops (D, anti-codon, and T loops). Further hydrogen bonds mediate the characteristic L-shaped molecular structure. tRNAs have two regions of fundamental functional importance: the anti-codon, which is responsible for specific mRNA codon recognition, and the 3' end, to which the tRNAs corresponding amino acid is attached (by aminoacyl-tRNA synthetases). tRNAs cope with the degeneracy of the genetic code in two manners: having more than one tRNA (with a specific anti-codon) for a particular amino acid; and 'wobble' base-pairing, i.e. permitting non-standard base-pairing at the 3rd anti-codon position.
Source: RNAcentral
GCGGAUAUGGCGGAAUUGGCAGACGCGCAUGAUUCAGGUUCAUGUGAGCACUACGCUCAUGCAAGUUCAAGUCUUGUUAUCCGCA